Molecule: unclassified non-coding RNA, 379 nt
Filed under: uncultured Actinomycetes bacterium
Lineage: Bacteria; Bacillati; Actinomycetota; Actinomycetes
Description: uncultured actinobacterium contains 16S-23S intergenic spacer region
Source: RNAcentral
UCCGAGUUGACCCCGGCAGUCUCCUAUGAGUCCCCGACAUUACUCGCUGGCAACUAAGGACAGGGGUUGCGCUCGUUGCGGGACUUAACCCAACAUCUCACGACACGAGCUGACGACGGCCAUGCACCACCUGUGCACAGGCCCCGAAGGGCUGCCGGGUUUCCCCGACAUUCCUGUGCAUGUCAAGCCCAGGUAAGGUUCUUCGCGUUGCGUCGAAUUAAACCACAUGCUCCGCUGCUUGUGCGGGCCCCCGGCAAUUCCUUUGAGUUUUAGCCUUGCGGCCGUACUCCCCAGGCGGGGCGCUUAAUGCGUUAGCUACGGCACGGACCCCGUGGAAGGGAACCCACACCUAGCGCCCAACGUUUACGGCAUGGACUAC